RNAcentral lists this ribosomal RNA (271 nucleotides) under uncultured bacterium. RNAcentral's name for it is "partial 16S ribosomal RNA". It matches the Rfam family "Bacterial small subunit ribosomal RNA", at positions 364 to 628 of the family's 1533-position model. The record is from RNAcentral.
UUGCCAUGGGCGCAAGCCUGNAUGCAGCCAUGCCGCGUGUAUGAAGAAGGCCUUCGGGUUGUAAAGUACUUUCAGCGGGGAGGAAGGCGAUAAGGUUAAUAACCUUGUCGAUUGACGUUACCCGCAGAAGAAGCACCGGCUAACUCCGUGCCAGCAGCCGCGGUAAUACGGAGGGUGCAAGCGUUAAUCGGAAUUACUGGGCGUAAAGCGCACGCAGGCGGUCUGUCAAGUCGGAUGUGAAAUCCCCGGGCUCAACCUGGGAACUGCAUUC